This 88-nucleotide transfer RNA is filed under the name Pseudomonadota bacterium. RNAcentral describes it as "tRNA-Ser". It matches the Rfam family "tRNA". Rfam says of the family: Transfer RNA (tRNA) molecules are approximately 80 nucleotides in length. Lineage: Bacteria; Pseudomonadati; Pseudomonadota. The record is from RNAcentral.
GGAAGGUUGGCAGAGUGGUCGAAUGCGCCGCACUUGAAAUGCGGUAUGCCGAAAGGCAUCGGAGGUUCGAAUCCUCCACCUUCCGCCA